GGAUGUGAAGGCAAUCUGGCUGCAACAUCUGCCACCCCAUUGAUCUCCAGGAUUAAUUUGGCUGAUCUGGCUGACUAGGCAGGUAUCUCCUUCUUCCCUUAUCUCUCCAGGUGCAUCACUUCCUAACCUGGUCACUUGAUCAAAGAAUGUGACAUUUCCAGCUAGAGGAGGACUUUUCUUUGAUUAAAAGUAUAUGAGUAGCCAGGGGCUGGCAGGUG
Tupaia belangeri (northern tree shrew) is the source of this 218-nucleotide unclassified non-coding RNA. Its record names the gene 7SK. It matches the Rfam family "7SK RNA". From Rfam's summary of the family: 7SK was discovered as an abundant small nuclear RNA in the mid-70s but a possible function has only recently been suggested. Two independent studies have found that 7SK RNA binds the CDK9/cyclin T complex (known as elongation factor P-TEFb). P-TEFb activates transcription by phosphorylating the C-terminal domain of RNA polymerase II. The record is from Ensembl. Lineage: Eukaryota; Metazoa; Chordata; Mammalia; Scandentia; Tupaiidae.